AUGGAUGUCACCGAGGAACAUAACAAGAAGAGAGAAAACAAAGAGAAGCAGAGGUGGAGAAACAGAGUCAGCCUCUCAGCCAGCUUGCCUGAUGAUGUUUGUGGUGUUUUUGCAGGUAGCGAAUGCUUGGUCAAGUACAGCACAGACCCAAUUUUUGAUAUGAGGGAAUCAAUACUAGGGAUGAUCCGGUACGAGGGUGUUUGUGAUUGGAAUGAUAUGAAAGAGUUAGUUUACUGUUAUGUUGCUCUUAACCCACCAGAGGUUCAUGAAAUUGUUAGGGAAGCUUUUCUCAGUUUAUGUUCUAAUUAA
This 309-nucleotide long non-coding RNA is filed under the name Prunus dulcis (almond). RNAcentral describes it as "sRNA ncRNA". Lineage: Eukaryota; Viridiplantae; Streptophyta; Magnoliopsida; Rosales; Rosaceae. The record is from RNAcentral.